GUAGGGUGCAAGCGUUGUUCGGAAUUAUAGGGCGUAAAGCGCGUGUAGGCGGUUUGUUAAGUCUGAUGUGAAAGCCCGGAGCCUAACUCCGGAAGUGCAUUGGAUACUGGCAGACUAGAGGACGAGAGAGGGAAGCGGAAUUCCUGGUGUAGGGGUGAAAUCCGUAGAUAUCAGGAGGAAUGUCGGAGGCGAAGGCGGCUUCCUGGCUCGUAACUGACGCUGAGACGCGAAAGCGUGGGUAGCAAACAGGAUUAGAUACCCUGGUAGUCCACGCCCUAAGCGAUGGACACUAGUCGUCGGAAUACCCUAAUUGUUUCGGUGGCGAAGCUAACGCAUUAAGUGUCCCCGCCUGGGGAUUACGGUCGCAAGAUUA
This 373-nucleotide ribosomal RNA is filed under the name uncultured organism. RNAcentral's name for it is "partial 16S ribosomal RNA". It matches the Rfam family "Bacterial small subunit ribosomal RNA", at positions 527 to 896 of the family's 1533-position model. The record is from RNAcentral.